CGGGACGGGUGAGUAACGCGUGGGUAACCUACCCUGUACACACGGAUAACAUACCGAGAGGUAUGCUAAUACGGGAUAAUAUAUUUGAGAGGCAUCUCUUGAAUAUCAAAGGUGAGCCAGUACAGGAUGGACCCGCGUCUGAUUAGCUAGUUGGUAAGGUAACGGCUUACCAAGGCGACGAUCAGUAGCCGACCUGAGAGGGUGAUCGGCCACAUUGGAACUGAGACACGGUCCAA
This 236-nucleotide ribosomal RNA is filed under the name uncultured bacterium. RNAcentral describes it as "partial 16S ribosomal RNA". It matches the Rfam family "Bacterial small subunit ribosomal RNA", at positions 100 to 334 of the family's 1533-position model. The record is from RNAcentral.